CCUACGGGAGGCAGCAGUGGGGAAUAUUGCACAAUGGGGGAAACCCUGAUGCAGCGACGCCGCGUGAGUGAAGAAGUAUUUCGGUAUGUAAAGCUCUAUCAGCAGGGAAGAAAGUGACGGUACCUGACUAAGAAGCCCCGGCUAACUACGUGCCAGCAGCCGCGGUAAUACGUAGGGGGCAAGCGUUAUCCGGAUUUAUUGGGUGUAAAGGGUGCGUAGACGGGUAUACAAGUUAGUAGUGAAAUCCCUCGGCUUAACUGAGGAACUGCUACUAAAACUAUAUAUCUUGAGUACUGGAGGGGAAA
This 305-nucleotide ribosomal RNA is filed under the name uncultured bacterium. RNAcentral's name for it is "bacterial SSU rRNA". It matches the Rfam family "Bacterial small subunit ribosomal RNA", at positions 338 to 660 of the family's 1533-position model. The record is from RNAcentral.